This 467-nucleotide ribosomal RNA is filed under the name uncultured bacterium. RNAcentral's name for it is "partial 16S ribosomal RNA". It matches the Rfam family "Bacterial small subunit ribosomal RNA", at positions 28 to 507 of the family's 1533-position model. The record is from RNAcentral.
GACGAACGCUGGCGGCGUGCUUAACACAUGCAAGUCGAACGGAAAGGCCCUGCUUUUGUGGGGUGCUCGAGUGGCGAACGGGUGAGUAACACGUGAGUAACCUGCCCUUGACUUUGGGAUAACUUCAGGAAACUGGGGCUAAUACCGGAUAGGAGCUCCUGCUGCAUGGUGGGGGUUGGAAAGUUUCGGCGGUUGGGGAUGGACUCGCGGCUUAUCAGCUUGUUGGUGGGGUAGUGGCUUACCAAGGCUUUGACGGGUAGCCGGCCUGAGAGGGUGACCGGCCACAUGGGGACUGGGGAACGGCCCGGACUCAAACGGGAGGAAGCGGGGGGGAAUAUGCCAAAAUGGGCGGAGGCCGGAGGCAGAAACGCCGCGUGGGGAAUGACGGCCUUCGGGUUGUAAACCGUUUUCGCUGUGACGAAGCGUGAGUGACGGUAAUGGGUAAAGAAGCACCGGCUAACUACGUG